Long non-coding RNA from Esox lucius (northern pike), 429 nucleotides. NCBI's taxonomy places the organism in Eukaryota, Metazoa, Chordata, Actinopteri, Esociformes, Esocidae. The record is from Ensembl.
AAAGAGUUACGCUUGCUUGCCAACAUGGCAAAGCACCAAACAGAAGACUUUCUACAGCUACGGAACAUUCUUCAGAAAAUGGAAGCUGCAAGAAGAGGCUCCGUAAGAGACUGAAGAAAUUGGGCUGUCCGGCAAAACUUUUCAUUCGUCACGUGACCAGAUGGAUGAAGAUCUCGUACAGUGGAUUGUACAAGAAAUCACCCCCUUGGACUGAUUUGUGAUUUAUUGCAAUUUUCUGAACUAUUUACACAAAAUGAUCUUGUGUAAUUUUUUAGGGGGGCCUUCUAUUGUUUAUUUUUCUGCUGAAAGUUUAAUUCAGGUCCCAGCGUCUGAAUGAGGUUUUCCUCUUGGAUUUUGCUUGUCCUUAUCUGCAUCAGUUUUUUAAUCUAAAAAAGUUCUCAGUCUGUGACGAUGCCAUGCACUACCCAC